RNAcentral lists this small RNA (914 nucleotides) under uncultured Acidimicrobiales bacterium. RNAcentral describes it as "bacterial SSU rRNA". The stretch from base 1 to 490 matches the Rfam family "Bacterial small subunit ribosomal RNA", at positions 1045 to 1533 of the family's 1533-position model. The record is from RNAcentral. Lineage: Bacteria; Bacillati; Actinomycetota; Acidimicrobiia; Acidimicrobiales.
AUGGCUGUCGUCAGCUCGUGUCGUGAGAUGUUGGGUUAAGUCCCGCAACGAGCGCAACCCUUGUCCUAUGUUGCCAGCGGGUAAUGCCGGGGACUCGUAGGAGACUGCCGGGGUCAACUCGGAGGAAGGUGGGGAUGACGUCAAGUCAUCAUGCCCCUUACGUCCAGGGCUGCACACAUGCUACAAUGGCCGAUACAAAGGGCUGCUAUCCCGCGAGGGUGAGCGAAUCCCAAAAAGUCGGUCUCAGUUCGGAUCGCAGUCUGCAACUCGACUGCGUGAAGUCGGAGUCGCUAGUAAUCCCGGAUCAGCAACGCCGGGGUGAAUACGUUCCCGGGCCUUGUACACACCGCCCGUCACACCACGAAAGUCGGUAACACCCGAAGCCAGUGGCCCAACCGCAAGGAGGGAGCUGUCGAAGGUGGGAUCGGUGAUUGGGGUGAAGUCGUAACAAGGUAGCCGUACCGGAAGGUGCGGCUGGAUCACCUCCUUUCUAAGGAGUAUUUGCUGGACAACCAACGUCCAGCCACUCCCAGUUGAUCACUAGCUUUGGUUCCUCUCUUAACUGUUUUCUUCGCAGGACUUGUCCUCAGUUCACAGUGACGGGAUGAACUCGAAGACCUCUGUUCCGUUUACAAGGAGCAUCAGCUCCUUGUUCCCAAAUCAAUAAGACGAAGCCGACCGCUGUUACAUCAACAGCAGAGUCGGCCUCUCGUCAUGUCCAGUUGCUUUGUCAGCUGGUUCUGAUCUUUGAGAAUUCCAUAGCGAGCACGAGCAUCUUUGUUCUCCAAGCUACAAAGAGCCAACGGUGGAUGCCUUGGCGCCUGAUGCCGAUGAAGGACGUGGGUGGCUGCGAUAAGCCACGGGGAGCUGCCUACCAAGCUUUGAUCCGUGGAUGUCCGAAUGGGGAAACCCGG